AGUUGAGAAGCAAUGCUGUUUCACCUCCCUGAGAGAAUUGCCUUGUUUGUGAAAUACUACAGAAAAACCUGUAUUUUCUCCAGAAAAUGAAAGGUCUUGGCCUGAGUAAAUCAAGGCAGAAAACUCACCCCCGUGAAAGCUGCAGCUCUGAGAGUGUGUGGGCAGGGCUUCAACAGAAUACCUGUGGCUGCACUUACAAAAGGCAGCCAGAAGGACCCGUCCAUUCUGGAAAGUACCUUUAGUCUGAAAGGUACAAAUCAGAACUUUCACCACAUUCCAUCUGGCACUCACUGGUGGUGCCAACACCUCAAAAACCCUGCCGGGGCCAUUUGUCACCAUGUGGACACAGACAGACCACCAGUGAAAGUGGAAUUUUUGAAUGAGCUUGAAUGACCUGCCUAUAUGUGUAGACAGCCAUGGUCACUUUUUCUCCGUAGGAUUAGAUGUGCUGAUUCUAAUGUGGUUCACAUUAGGCUAUUUUCUUUUAAAAGUGAAAUUUCUUUUGGAAGCCUGGACAUUUCUAAGACGACUUCACAUCUAUUCACUCAUCUUGCCUUCCAAAACAGCUGCUCACAAUCUGAAUAUUAGACUACAAAUAGCAAAAACAAACCUCUGUUGUUAUUAUUACUAUAUUAUUAGGGUUUUUUUAGAAUCCCAAGGAAUUCUUUAUAUAAUGUAGAGUAAGCUAUUAGAAGGAAAUCAUUAUUUUCAAUGUGGUUCAUCCCAUGGAGGUAUGGAUGGAGAAUCCCUGCUCUUUCCUGGAAAUGGAUGCUGGUUCUUUAGAACACAUUUAUUGCAGAAAAAAUAUGAGGCUUGCUGGUAGUAUUCCCAGGUGACAAAUGUGCACCCAACACCCUACAGAAAAGAAGAACCAUAAAAUAAUUAAUUAUUCCAUUGUAACUCCUGCCUGGAAAACAUCUGAAAGAAGUCACUAGAUUCAGCCCACAUUCAAGAUGAGAAAUACCAGAAGGCAGAGAACACUGAGGCUGUUUUAGAGGCUGUCAACCCCAGGGAGACAGACAGCAAAUAAGAUGCUUGGAUGUUUUCACACCACUCUGACACAUGGAUGGAAGGUUAGAAGACAACAAAGGAAUGGGCUGGGAAGGACUCCAAAAGCAGAAUCAGAGAUUAUAUCAUUCCUUGGAAAUGGAGAAAAGGAUCAAAAAAGCUGAAUAAAAGGCAAACAUGGAGGAACAGAGUUUGGAGCAAUACCCUGACUUACAUUCAGUACUGUUAAUGGCUCCAGCAUCUUGAAACAAACCAAUUUUGGAUUUUCAGCCGCUGUCCAAGAUGACGUGAACUCCAGGCUAUUGACUUUCCUCUACCUUCAAUGGAAAUUGUCAUGGAGAAUUAAGUUUUUGACAAAUCUACAGCCUAUGUGCAGGGCUUCUUCCUGGGUGUAACAAUAAGGAAUUUGGAAACUGUCUCUAGUUUUGGCCUGGAGUCACACUGCAGCUUGAGACCCUGUCAUUUCCAUCAAGCUUGAAAAUAUACAUCUUAAUAAACUGCAAUACUUCUUAA
Molecule: long non-coding RNA, 1521 nt
Filed under: Homo sapiens (human)
Lineage: Eukaryota; Metazoa; Chordata; Mammalia; Primates; Hominidae
Description: long independently transcribed non-coding RNA 2831 (LINC02831)
Source: RNAcentral